AACAAUCAAGCAUUUCACAAAUGAUAUAGCAAGGCAAUGUCAAACAUACAUACGUGUUCAAACUUCUUAGACAAAAUAUUUUCCAGUCCAGGCACAACUUCGAAAUUAAUAAUCAUUAAAAACUAGAUAGAAUGAGGAUCACAAUGCAAAAAAUUGGAGAUCAUUUGGUUGAGUUUUCAAUUUUUUAUGAUAUUUGGAAGUUG
Molecule: long non-coding RNA, 203 nt
Filed under: Lathyrus oleraceus (garden pea)
Lineage: Eukaryota; Viridiplantae; Streptophyta; Magnoliopsida; Fabales; Fabaceae
Description: Pisum sativum (pea) long non-coding RNA (PSAT_LNC020483)
Source: RNAcentral